CAAGUCGCGGGGCAGCGCGGGUAGCAAUACCUGGCCGGCGACCGGCGGAAGGGUGCGUAACGCGUGAGCAACAUGCCCGUCUCAGGGGGAUAACCGAUGGAAACCGUCGCCUAAUACCCGUAACAACAGACCCCGCAUGAGGUUUGUUUGAAAGCUCCGGCGGAGACGGAUUGGCUCGCGUGACAUUAGCUUGUUGGCGGGGUAACGGCCCACCAAGGCGACGAUGUCUAGGGGUUCUGAGAGGAAGGUCCCCCACACUGGAACUGAGACACGGUCCAGACUCCUACGGGAGGCAGCAGUGAGGAAUAUUGGUCAAUGGGCGAAAGCCUGAACCAGCCAUGCCGCGUGCAGGAAUGAGGCCCUAUGGGGUUCCGUAAACUGCUUUUGCUGCGGAGCAAUAAGGUGCACGUGUGCACCGAUGAGAGUACGCGGCGAAUAAGCAUCGGCUAACUCCGUGCCAGCAGCAGC
Molecule: ribosomal RNA, 468 nt
Filed under: uncultured bacterium
Lineage: Bacteria
Description: bacterial SSU rRNA
Rfam family: Bacterial small subunit ribosomal RNA
Source: RNAcentral